CCUCACCCGUGUACCAGUGCA
Molecule: unclassified non-coding RNA, 21 nt
Filed under: Mus musculus (house mouse)
Lineage: Eukaryota; Metazoa; Chordata; Mammalia; Rodentia; Muridae
Description: oocyte_clustered_small_RNA12474
Source: RNAcentral